AGGCGCGGACAAUGAAGCGGAUGAGAGCGACGCAGACCGAACCACUAAAGCCUGACGGAGAGCACGAACUAGCGGAAGAGAAAGAAAGACGGAUAGAGCGCGACCGGCCAGAGUAUCGGAGGCAGAAGGAAACGCUAGUGUGGGAGAGAGAGAGAGAGAGAGAGAGAGAGAGAGAGAGAGAGAGAACGAGAGAGAGAGAGAGUGACAGAGAGGGAGAGGCAGAGGGA
Molecule: unclassified non-coding RNA, 227 nt
Filed under: Bombus terrestris (buff-tailed bumblebee)
Lineage: Eukaryota; Metazoa; Arthropoda; Insecta; Hymenoptera; Apidae
Description: misc RNA ENSBTSG00005020956.1
Source: RNAcentral